GCGUGGCGGCGCUACCAUGCAGUCGAGCGGUAGCACAGAGAGCUUGCUCUCGGGUGACGAGCGGCGGACGGGUGAGUAAUGUCUGGGAAACUGCCUGAUGGAGGGGGAUAACUACUGGAAACGGUAGCUAAUACCGCAUAACGUCGCAAGACCAAAGUGGGGGACCUUCGGGCCUCAUGCCAUCAGAUGUGCCCAGAUGGGAUUAGCUGGUAGGUGGGGUAACGGCUCACCUAGGCGACGAUCCCUAGCUGGUCUGAGAGGAUGACCAGCCACACUGGAACUGAGACACGGUCCAGACUCCUACGGGAGGCAGCAGUGGGGAAUAUUGCACAAUGGGCGCAAGCCUGAUGCAGCCAUGCCGCGUGUGUGAAGAAGGCCUUCGGGUUGUAAAGCACUUUCAGCGGGGAGGAAGGCGGUGAGGUUAAUAACCUCGUCGAUUGACGUUACCCGCAGAAGAAGCACCGGCUAACUCCGUGCCAGCAGCCGCGGUAAUACGGAGGGUGCAAGCGUUAAUCGGAAUUACUGGGCGUAAAGCGCACGCAGGCGGUCUGUCAAGUCGGAUGUGAAAUCCCCGGGCUCAACCUGGGAACUGCAUUCGAA
RNAcentral lists this ribosomal RNA (600 nucleotides) under Klebsiella pneumoniae. RNAcentral's name for it is "bacterial SSU rRNA". It matches the Rfam family "Bacterial small subunit ribosomal RNA", at positions 37 to 631 of the family's 1533-position model. Lineage: Bacteria; Pseudomonadati; Pseudomonadota; Gammaproteobacteria; Enterobacterales; Enterobacteriaceae. The record is from RNAcentral.